Molecule: ribosomal RNA, 2906 nt
Filed under: Klebsiella michiganensis
Lineage: Bacteria; Pseudomonadati; Pseudomonadota; Gammaproteobacteria; Enterobacterales; Enterobacteriaceae
Description: 23S ribosomal RNA
Rfam family: Bacterial large subunit ribosomal RNA
Source: RNAcentral
GGUUAAGCGACUAAGCGUACACGGUGGAUGCCCUGGCAGUCAGAGGCGAUGAAGGACGUGCUAAUCUGCGAAAAGCGUCGGUAAGGUGAUAUGAACCGUUAUAGCCGGCGAUGUCCGAAUGGGGAAACCCAGUGCAAUUCGUUGCACUAUCGUUAACUGAAUACAUAGGUUAACGAGGCGAACCGGGGGAACUGAAACAUCUAAGUACCCCGAGGAAAAGAAAUCAACCGAGAUUCCCCCAGUAGCGGCGAGCGAACGGGGAGCAGCCCGGAGUCUGAAUCAGCUUGUGUGUUAGUGGAAGCGUCUGGAAAGUCGCAGGGUACAGGGUGAUACUCCCGUACACUAAAACACACAGGUUGUGAACUCGAAGAGUAGGGCGGGACACGUGGUAUCCUGUCUGAAUAUGGGGGGACCAUCCUCCAAGGCUAAAUACUCCUGACUGACCGAUAGUGAACCAGUACCGUGAGGGAAAGGCGAAAAGAACCCCGGCGAGGGGAGUGAAAAAGAACCUGAAACCGUGUACGUACAAGCAGUAGGAGCCCACUUGUUGGGUGACUGCGUACCUUUUGUAUAAUGGGUCAGCGACUUAUAUUCUGUAGCAAGGUUAACCGUAUAGGGGAGCCGCAGGGAAACCGAGUCUUAACUGGGCGUUAAGUUGCAGGGUAUAGACCCGAAACCCGGUGAUCUAGCCAUGGGCAGGUUGAAGGUUGGGUAACACUAACUGGAGGACCGAACCGACUAAUGUUGAAAAAUUAGCGGAUGACUUGUGGCUGGGGGUGAAAGGCCAAUCAAACCGGGAGAUAGCUGGUUCUCCCCGAAAGCUAUUUAGGUAGCGCCUCGUGAACUCAUCUUCGGGGGUAGAGCACUGUUUCGGCUAGGGGGUCAUCCCGACUUACCAACCCGAUGCAAACUACGAAUACCGAAGAAUGUUAUCACGGGAGACACACGGCGGGUGCUAACGUCCGUCGUGAAGAGGGAAACAACCCAGACCGCCAGCUAAGGUCCCAAAGUCAUGGUUAAGUGGGAAACGAUGUGGGAAGGCCCAGACAGCCAGGAUGUUGGCUUAGAAGCAGCCAUCAUUUAAAGAAAGCGUAAUAGCUCACUGGUCGAGUCGGCCUGCGCGGAAGAUGUAACGGGGCUAAACCAUGCACCGAAGCUGCGGCAGCGACACUAUGUGUUGUUGGGUAGGGGAGCGUUCUGUAAGCCGUUGAAGGUGGCCUGUGAGGGUUGCUGGAGGUAUCAGAAGUGCGAAUGCUGACAUAAGUAACGAUAAUGCGGGUGAAAAACCCGCACGCCGGAAGACCAAGGGUUCCUGUCCAACGUUAAUCGGGGCAGGGUGAGUCGACCCCUAAGGCGAGGCCGAAAGGCGUAGUCGAUGGGAAACAGGUUAAUAUUCCUGUACUCGGUGUUACUGCGAAGGGGGGACGGAGAAGGCUAUGUUGGCCGGGCGACGGUUGUCCCGGUUUAAGCAUGUAGGCGGAUGUUCCAGGUAAAUCCGGAACGUCACUAACGCUGAGGUGUGAUGACGAGGCACUACGGUGCUGAAGUGACAAAUGCCCUGCUUCCAGGAAAAGCCUCUAAGCAUCAGGUAACAUCAAAUCGUACCCCAAACCGACACAGGUGGUCAGGUAGAGAAUACCAAGGCGCUUGAGAGAACUCGGGUGAAGGAACUAGGCAAAAUGGUGCCGUAACUUCGGGAGAAGGCACGCUGAUGGUAAGUGAAGUGACUUGCUCAUGGAGCUGAAAUCAGUCGAAGAUACCAGCUGGCUGCAACUGUUUAUUAAAAACACAGCACUGUGCAAACACGAAAGUGGACGUAUACGGUGUGACGCCUGCCCGGUGCCGGAAGGUUAAUUGAUGGGGUUAUCCGUAAGGAGAAGCUCUUGAUCGAAGCCCCGGUAAACGGCGGCCGUAACUAUAACGGUCCUAAGGUAGCGAAAUUCCUUGUCGGGUAAGUUCCGACCUGCACGAAUGGCGUAAUGAUGGCCAGGCUGUCUCCACCCGAGACUCAGUGAAAUUGAACUCGCUGUGAAGAUGCAGUGUACCCGCGGCAAGACGGAAAGACCCCGUGAACCUUUACUAUAGCUUGACACUGAACACUGGUCCUUGAUGUGUAGGAUAGGUGGGAGGCUUUGAAGUGUGGACGCCAGUCUGCAUGGAGCCAUCCUUGAAAUACCACCCUUUAAUGGCUGGUGUUCUAACGUGGGCCCCUGAUCGGGGUUGCGGACAGUGUCUGGUGGGUAGUUUGACUGGGGCGGUCUCCUCCUAAAGAGUAACGGAGGAGCACGAAGGUCAGCUAAUCCUGGUCGGACAUCAGGAGGUUAGUGCAAUGGCAUAAGCUGGCUUGACUGCGAGCGUGACGGCGCGAGCAGGUGCGAAAGCAGGUCAUAGUGAUCCGGUGGUUCUGAAUGGAAGGGCCAUCGCUCAACGGAUAAAAGGUACUCCGGGGAUAACAGGCUGAUACCGCCCAAGAGUUCAUAUCGACGGCGGUGUUUGGCACCUCGAUGUCGGCUCAUCACAUCCUGGGGCUGAAGUAGGUCCCAAGGGUAUGGCUGUUCGCCAUUUAAAGUGGUACGCGAGCUGGGUUUAGAACGUCGUGAGACAGUUCGGUCCCUAUCUGCCGUGGGCGCUGGAGAAUUGAGGGGGGCUGCUCCUAGUACGAGAGGACCGGAGUGGACGCAUCACUGGUGUUCGGGUUGUCAUGCCAAUGGCAUUGCCCGGUAGCUAAAUGCGGAAGAGAUAAGUGCUGAAAGCAUCUAAGCACGAAACUUGCCCCGAGAUGAGUUCUCCCUGACCCUUUAAGGGUCCUGAAGGAACGUUGAAGACGACGACGUUGAUAGGCCGGGUGUGUAAGCGCAGCGAUGCGUUGAGCUAACCGGUACUAAUGAACCGUGAGGCUUAACCUU